RNAcentral lists this ribosomal RNA (468 nucleotides) under uncultured bacterium. RNAcentral describes it as "partial 16S ribosomal RNA". It matches the Rfam family "Bacterial small subunit ribosomal RNA", at positions 28 to 507 of the family's 1533-position model. The record is from RNAcentral.
GACGAACGCUGGCGGCGUGCUUAACACAUGCAAGUCGAACGGAAAGGCCCUGCUUUUGUGGGGUGCUCGAGUGGCGAACGGGUGAGUAACACGUGAGUAACCUGCCCUUGACUGUGGGAUAAUUUAAGGAAACUGGGGCUAAUACCGGAUAGGAGCUCCUGAUGCAUGGUGGGGGUUGGAAAGUUUCGGCGGUUGGGGAUGGACUCGCGGCGGAUCAGCUUGUUGGUGGGGUAGUGGCUUACCAAGGCUUUGACGGGUAGCCGGCCUGAGAGGGUGACCGGCCACAUUGGGACUGAGAUACGUCCCAGACUCCUACGGGAGGCAGCAGUGGGGAAUAUUGCACAAUGGGCGGAAGCCUGAUGCAGCAACGCCGCGUGCGGGAUGACGGCCUUCGGGUUGUAACCCGCUUUCGCCUGUGACGAAGCGUGAGUGACGGUAAUGGGUAAAUAAGCACCGGCUAACUACGUG